UUUUAUCUAAACAUGUUCAAGGUGAAGAGUUGUAUUGAUAUUUAGCUUCACUAAAGUGAAUAGAAACAGCAAUAAUAAUAGCAAAAAUGUUAAAUUAGAAUCAGUUGUCAUCAUUAUCUCUCAUUGUGAAACCAAUAUCAAUCUAAAGAAACUAGAAGUUACAGUUUUGUUAACUUUUCUCAAUUUCAAUUAUGUUUACAUAUUAUGUUGUAGGAUUGCGA
This 221-nucleotide unclassified non-coding RNA is filed under the name Hevea brasiliensis (rubber tree). Lineage: Eukaryota; Viridiplantae; Streptophyta; Magnoliopsida; Malpighiales; Euphorbiaceae. The record is from RNAcentral.